This 484-nucleotide ribosomal RNA is filed under the name uncultured bacterium. Its description in RNAcentral is "partial 16S ribosomal RNA". It matches the Rfam family "Bacterial small subunit ribosomal RNA", at positions 28 to 507 of the family's 1533-position model. The record is from RNAcentral.
AUUGAACGCUGGCGGCAUGCUAUACACAUGCAAGUCGAACGGCAGCGCGGGCUUCGGCCUGGCGGCGAGUGGCGAACGGGUGAGUAAUGCAUCGGAACGUGCCCAGUAGUGGGGGAUAGCCCGGCGAAAGCCGGAUUAAUACCGCAUACGACCUGAGGGUGAAAGCGGGGGACCGAAAGGCCUCGCGCUAUUGGAGCGGCCGAUGUCGGAUUAGCUAGUUGGUGGGGUAAAGGCUUACCAAGGCGACGAUCCGUAGCUGGUCUGAGAGGACGACCGGCCACACUGGGACUGAGACACGGCCCAGACUCCUACGGGAGGCAGCAGUGGGGAAUUUUGGACAAUGGGGGCAACCCUGAUCCAGCCAUGCCGCGUGCGGGAAGAAGGCCUUCGGGUUGUAAACCGCUUUUGUUCGGGAAGAAAUCCUCUGGGCUAAUACCCCGGGGGGAUGACGGUACCGGAAGAAUAAGCACCGGCUAACUACGUG